Molecule: long non-coding RNA, 1111 nt
Organism: Oncorhynchus tshawytscha (Chinook salmon)
Lineage: Eukaryota; Metazoa; Chordata; Actinopteri; Salmoniformes; Salmonidae
Source: Ensembl
CCAAUAUGCUUUGACAAACACAUAUUUAAAGGUACAACUGACUAUUAUGUCAUUACUGUCUUCAUUAUUAUAACAGACUAAAUGAAUCCAAUAUGCUUUGACAAACACAUAUUUAAAGGUACAACUGACUAUUAUGUCAUGACUGUCUUCAUUAUUAUAACAGACUAAAUGAAUCCAAUAUGCUUUGACAAACACAUAUUUAAAGGUACAACUGACUAUUAUGUCAUUACUGUCUUCAUUAUUAUAACAGACUAAAUGAAUCCAAUAUGCUUUGACAAACACAUAUUUAAAGGUACAACUGACUAUUAUGUCAUUACUGUCUUCAUUAUUAUAACAGACUAAAUGAAUCCAAUAUGCUUUGACAAACACAUAUUUAAAGGUACAACUGACUAUUAUGUCAUUACUGUCUUCAUUAUUAUAACAGACUAAAUGAAUCCAAUAUGCUUUGACAAACACAUAUUUACAUGAAUAUUUGCAAAAAUGUUGCUUGACUUUCACAACAUCUGGAGAUACAGAUUUAUUUUAAACCCAGAUGUUCAUAUUUUACAUUAUAUUCAAUAAAACUACAUGAGCUGUUUUAAUACAAUGUGUCAAGGAGGAUUUGAAACAGGAAAGGGAUUGUUUUUUAAAUGUCGUUCCAAGAUGGUGGCUCUGUGGUGACAACCCUUCGUCUCUCUACAGGGAGCUUCUCUUCAUCCCAGAUGUCACCUUGUUCUCUAUAGAGCACUGCCUUUAUCCAGGGUCCAUAUGGGGGAUACAUAAUAGGGUGUCAUUUGGGACACAUUCCUUGUAUAUAUUCUAUAGUACUACAUUAUUGUGGGUAGCUGGGCUGUAGAGUAGAGGACAUCUUCUGGAGUGUCUUUAGAGAGGUGUACAGCAGGGUAUCUUGUAGAUUCUACAGUAUCUUUGGGUAGCUGGGCUGUAGAGUAGAGGGCAUCUUCUGGAGUGUCUUUAGAGAGGUGUACAGCAGGGUAUCUUGUAGAUUCUACAGUAUCUUUGGGUAGCUGGGCUGUAGAAUAGAUGGAAUCAUCCUGGGUUCCACUGGCUGUUGGAGGACUUGAGGAGACUCUAGAAUCUGUAGGUAGAUCCACAUUGGAGUAGAUGAGAGAAG